GGCCGCGGGAAUUCGAUUCAGGCCUAACACAUGCAAGUCGAACGGUAACAGGAAGCAGCUUGCUGCUUCGCUGACGAGUGGCGGACGGGUGAGUAAUGUCUGGGAAACUGCCUGAUGGAGGGGGAUAACUACUGGAAACGGUAGCUAAUACCGCAUAGCGUCGCAAGACCAAAGAGGGGGACCUUCGGGCCUCUUGCCAUCGGAUGUGCCCAGAUGGGAUUAGCUAGUAGGUGGGGUAACGGCUCACCUAGGCGACGAUCCCUAGCUGGUCUGAGAGGAUGACCAGCCACACUGGAACUGAGACACGGUCCAGACUCCUACGGGAGGCAGCAGUGGGGAAUAUUGCACAAUGGGCGCAAGCCUGAUGCAGCCAGGCCGCGUGUAUGAAGAAGGCCUUCGGGUUGUAAAGUAAUGGAGCGGGGAGGAAGGUGUUGAGGUUAAUAACCUCAGCAAUUGACGUACCCGCAGA
RNAcentral lists this ribosomal RNA (469 nucleotides) under uncultured bacterium. RNAcentral describes it as "bacterial SSU rRNA". It matches the Rfam family "Bacterial small subunit ribosomal RNA", at positions 39 to 485 of the family's 1533-position model. The record is from RNAcentral.